Molecule: ribosomal RNA, 594 nt
Filed under: Ophiostoma montium
Lineage: Eukaryota; Fungi; Ascomycota; Sordariomycetes; Ophiostomatales; Ophiostomataceae
Description: eukaryotic LSU rRNA
Rfam family: Eukaryotic large subunit ribosomal RNA
Source: RNAcentral
CAAGGUUGACCUCGGAUCAGGUAGGACUACCCGCUGAACUUAAGCAUAUCAAUAAGCGGAGGAAAAGAAACCAACAGGGAUUGCCCCAGUAACGGCGAGUGAAGCGGCAACAGCUCAAAUUUGAAAUCUGGCCUUCGGGUCCGAGUUGUAAUUUGGAGAGGAUGCUUCUGGCGCGGCGCCGUCCGAGUUCCUUGGAACAGGACGCCAUAGAGGGUGAGAGCCCCGUACGGGCGGACGCCUAGCCUCUGUGAAGCUCCUUCGACGAGUCGAGUAGUUUGGGAAUGCUGCUCAAAAUGGGAGGUAAAUUUCUUCUAAAGCUAAAUACCGGCCAGAGACCGAUAGCGCACAAGUAGAGUGAUCGAAAGAUGAAAAGCACUUUGAAAAGAGGGUUAAAAAGUACGUGAAAUUGUUGAAAGGGAAGCGCCUGUGACCAGACUUGCUGCCCGCGGAUCAUCCGGCGUUCUUCGCCGGUGCACUCCGCGGGCGGCAGGCCAGCAUCGGUUUUCCUGGGGGGUCAAAGGUCGCGGGAACGUGGCUCCUUCGGGAGUGUUAUAGCCCGCGGCGUCAUGCCUCUGGGGGGACCGAGGACCGCGC